RNAcentral lists this non-coding RNA (30 nucleotides) under Rattus norvegicus (Norway rat). Lineage: Eukaryota; Metazoa; Chordata; Mammalia; Rodentia; Muridae. The record is from RNAcentral.
UCCCAAGGGCCUUCACUGACUAGGACAUGU